UUUUAGGGGGAAUAAGGGUACAAGGUUUCCGUAGGUGAACCGCGGAAGGAUCAUCGCAGUAUUCCUUACCCACCGAUUAACUGCGCGGCGCAGGAAGUUAAUCAAAUUAACAAGGUUUCCGUAGGUGAACCUGCGGAAGGAUCAUUACUGUGAUUUAGUACUACACUGCGUGAGCGGAACGAAAACAAAAACACCUAAAAUGUGGAAUAUAGCAUAUAGUCGACAAGAGAAAUCUACGAAAAACAAACAAAACUUUCAACAACGGAUCUCUUGGUUCUCGCAUCGAUGAAGAGCGCAGCGAAAUGCGAUACCUAGUGUGAAUUGCAGCCAUCGUGAAUCAUCGAGUUCUUGAACGCACAUUGCGCCCCUCGGCAUUCCGGGGGGCAUGCCUGUUUGAGCGUCGUUUCCAUCUUGCGCGUGCGCAGAGUUGGGGGAGCGGAGCGGACGACGUGUAAAGAGCGUCGGAGCUGCGACUCGCCUGAAAGGGAGCGAAGCUGGCCGAGCGAACUAGACUUUUUUUCAGGGACGCUUGGCGGCCGAGAGCGAGUGUUGCGAGACAACAAAAAGCUCGACCUCAAGUACAGAUAAGAAACACCAACUUSC
Molecule: ribosomal RNA, 603 nt
Filed under: Pichia kudriavzevii
Lineage: Eukaryota; Fungi; Ascomycota; Pichiomycetes; Pichiales; Pichiaceae
Description: eukaryotic LSU rRNA
Rfam family: 5.8S ribosomal RNA (bases 251-403)
Source: RNAcentral